GCCUUUUGUAAAUUAAGCUGGACCAGCAAGGUUGAAAACCGCACUAGAACGCCCCCUGGUGGAUAUUUUGUUAUGUUUCGGUGACGCUAAAAAAGAAUAUAGAUCCAAGAUGGUGGAAAGCAUCACCGAACAGUUCAUGGAUUAAGCUGAUUAUUAUCCUUAUACGUUGUGUUUCAGACAAGAUUUGUUCGUAAGUAUUGGUUAAUUGUGAAAACAACAAUUGUCUCUUUGUUUUAUGUAACUGUGGUUGUUGGAUUCACUCCUCCCAUUCCGCUAGGGGGCUCUGUAGUUGUUUUGCAUUGGUAGCGGAGGGGAGGUGAAACAAGAGAAGAAACUUACGGCAGGCCAGUAAUACACCGAGACUGCCGUUAGCUGAAGCUAACAAGCUGAAGCUACAUUAAAAUCAUAUUCUACUGGCGUUCAUGAGUGUUGCCCAACGUGUUUAACCGGACGGCACGUCCAUGUAAAAGCACUCGGCAAUAAAAUUAACAACAACGACUA
This is a long non-coding RNA of Xiphophorus couchianus (Monterrey platyfish), 501 nucleotides long. RefSeq lists it as uncharacterized. Lineage: Eukaryota; Metazoa; Chordata; Actinopteri; Cyprinodontiformes; Poeciliidae. The transcript has 2 exons. The record is from RefSeq and is a predicted model, not a curated record.